RNAcentral lists this ribosomal RNA (499 nucleotides) under uncultured bacterium. RNAcentral describes it as "partial 16S ribosomal RNA". It matches the Rfam family "Bacterial small subunit ribosomal RNA", at positions 28 to 507 of the family's 1533-position model. The record is from RNAcentral.
GACGAACGCUGGCGGCGUGCUUAACACAUGCAAGUCGAACGGGCCCGCCCCUGUUUUUGGGGGUGGGUUGAGUGGCGAACGGGUGAGUAUCACGUGAGUAACCUGCCCCCUGCUCCUGGAUAACUGCUUGAAAGGGCGGCUAAUACGGGGUGUGCCGGCUGGUCCGCAUGGGCCUGGUCGGGAUAGUUUCAUCUUCGGGUGUUUCGGUGGGGGAUGGGCUCGCGGCCUAUCAGCUUGUUGGUGGGGUGAUGGCCCACCAAGGCGGUGACGGGUGGCCUGCCUGGGUGGGUGGGCGGCCACGCUGGGACUGAGAGCCGGCCCAGCGUCCGGCGGGAGGCAGCGGUGGGGGGUAUUGCACAAUGGGCGGAAGCCUGAUGCAGCGACGUCGCGUGAGGGAUGGAGGCCUUCGGGUUGUGAACCUCUUUCUCCGGUGGUGAAGGCCCUGCCCGUUGCGGCGGGGUUGACGGUAGCCGGGUAUGAAGCGCCGGCUAACUACGUG